This 540-nucleotide ribosomal RNA is filed under the name uncultured eukaryote. Its description in RNAcentral is "SSU rRNA". It matches the Rfam family "Eukaryotic small subunit ribosomal RNA", at positions 202 to 746 of the family's 1831-position model. The record is from RNAcentral.
UGUAUUUAUUAGAUAAAAAACCAAUGCCCUUCGGGGCUUUUUGGUGAUUCAUGAUAACUUUACGGAUCGCAUAGCCUUGCGCUGGCGACGGUUCAUUCAAAUUUCUGCCCUAUCAGCUUUCGAUGGUAAGGUAUUGGCUUACCAUGGUUUCAACGGGUAACGGGGAAUUAGGGUUCGAUUCCGGAGAGGGAGCCUGAGAAACGGCUACCACAUCCAAGGAAGGCAGCAGGCGCGCAAAUUACCCAAUCCCGACACGGGGAGGUAGUGACAAUAAAUACUGAUACAGGGCUCUUUUGGGUCUUGUAAUUGGAAUGAGUACAAUUUAAACCUCUUAACGAGGAACAAUUGGAGGGCAAGUCUGGUGCCAGCAGCCGCGGUAAUUCCAGCUCCAAUAGCGUAUAUUAAAGUUGUUGCAGUUAAAAAGCUCGUAGUUGAAACUUGGGCCUGGCUGGCGGGUCCGCCUCACCGCGUGCACUCGUCCGGCCGGGCCUUCCUUCUGAAGAACCUCAUGCCCUUCACUGGGCGUGCUGGGGAACCAGG